This 40-nucleotide transfer RNA is filed under the name Pteridium aquilinum (common bracken). Its description in RNAcentral is "partial tRNA-Phe". It matches the Rfam family "tRNA", at positions 1 to 39 of the family's 71-position model. Rfam says of the family: Transfer RNA (tRNA) molecules are approximately 80 nucleotides in length. RNAcentral also lists the same sequence under 11 other names. The record is from RNAcentral. Lineage: Eukaryota; Viridiplantae; Streptophyta; Polypodiopsida; Polypodiales; Dennstaedtiaceae.
GCCGGGAUAGCUCAGUCGGUAGAGCAGAGGACUGAAAAUC